Molecule: ribosomal RNA, 506 nt
Filed under: uncultured bacterium
Lineage: Bacteria
Description: partial 16S ribosomal RNA
Rfam family: Bacterial small subunit ribosomal RNA
Source: RNAcentral
AGUGAACGCUGGCGGUAGGCCUAACACAUGCAAGUCGAACGGCAGCACAGGAGAGCUUGCUCUCUGGGUGGCGAGUGGCGGACGGGCGAGGAAUACAUCGGAAUCUACUCUGUCGUGGGGGAUAACGUAGGGAAACUUACGCUAAUACCGCAUACGACCUACGGGUGAAAGCAGGGGACCUUCGGGCCUUGCGCGAUUGAAUGAGCCGAUGUCGGAUUAGCUAGUUGGCGGGGUUAAGGCCCACCAAGGCGACGAUCCGUAGCUGGUCUGAGAGGAUGAUCAGCGACACUGGAACUGAGACACGGUCCAGACUCCUACGGGAGGCAGCAGUGGGGAAUAUUGGACAAUGGGCGCAAGCCUGAUCCAGCCAUACCGCGUGGGUGAAGAAGGCCUUCGGGUUGUAAAGCCCUUUUGUUGGGAAAGAAAUCCAGCUGGCUAAUACCCGGUUGGGAUGACGGUACCCAAAGAAUAAGCACCGGCUAACUUCGUGCCAGCAGCCGCCGCCG